CCUACGGGGCGCAGCAGUGAGGAAUAUUGGUCAAUGGGCGGAAGCCUGAACCAGCCAAGUCGCGUGAGGGAUUAAGGCCCUAUGGGUCGUAAACCUCUUUUGUCAGGGAGCAAGGCCUCUCACGUGUGGGAGGUUGGAGAGUACCUGAAGAAAAAGCAUCGGCUAACUCCGUGCCAGCAGCCGCGGUAAUACGGAGGAUGCGAGCGUUAUCCGGAUUUAUUGGGUUUAAAGGGUGCGUAGGCGGAAUAUCAAGUCAGCGGUAAAAAUUCGGGGCUCAACCCCGUCGUGCCGUUGAAACUGAUGUU
This 305-nucleotide ribosomal RNA is filed under the name uncultured bacterium. RNAcentral describes it as "bacterial SSU rRNA". It matches the Rfam family "Bacterial small subunit ribosomal RNA", at positions 338 to 640 of the family's 1533-position model. The record is from RNAcentral.